UUAGAGUUUGAUCCUGGCUCAGGACGAACGCUGGCGGCGUGCCUAAUACAUGCAAGUCGAGCGGACAGAUGGGAGCUUGCUCCCUGAUGUUAGCGGCGGACGGGUGAGUAACACGUGGGUAACCUGCCUGUAAGACUGGGAUAACUCCGGGAAACCGGGGCUAAUACCGGAUGCUUGAUUGAACCGCAUGGUUCAAUUAUAAAAGGUGGCUUUUAGCUACCACUUACAGAUGGACCCGCGGCGCAUUAGCUAGUUGGUGAGGUAACGGCUCACCAAGGCAACGAUGCGUAGCCGACCUGAGAGGGUGAUCGGCCACACUGGGACUGAGACACGGCCCAGACUCCUACGGGAGGCAGCAGUAGGGAAUCUUCCGCAAUGGACGAAAGUCUGACGGAGCAACGCCGCGUGAGUGAUGAAGGUUUUCGGAUCGUAAAACUCUGUUGUUAGGGAAGAACAAGUACCGUUCGAAUAGGGCGGUACCUUGACGGUACCUAACCAGAAAGCCACGGCUAACUACGUGCCAGCAGCUGCGGUAAUACGUAGGUGGCAAGCGUUGUCCGGAAUUAUUGGGCGUAAAGCGCGCGCAGGCGGUUUCUUAAGUCUGAUGUGAAAGCCCCCGGCUCAACCGGGGAGGGUCAUUGGAAACUGGGGAACUUGAGUGCAGAAGAGGAGAGUGGAAUUCCACGUGUAGCGGUGAAAUGCGUAGAGAUGUGGAGGAACACCAGUGGCGAAGGCGACUCUCUGGUCUGUAACUGACGCUGAGGCGCGAAAGCGUGGGGAGCGAACAGGAUUAGAUACCCUGGUAGUCCACGCCGUAAACGAUGAGUGCUAAGUGUUAGAGGGUUUCCGCCCUUUAGUGCUGCAGCAAACGCAUUAAGCACUCCGCCUGGGGAGUACGGUCGCAAGACUGAAACUCAAAGGAAUUGACGG
RNAcentral lists this ribosomal RNA (930 nucleotides) under uncultured bacterium. Its description in RNAcentral is "bacterial SSU rRNA". It matches the Rfam family "Bacterial small subunit ribosomal RNA", at positions 1 to 916 of the family's 1533-position model. The record is from RNAcentral.